AGAAAAUUAAAGAAGUUAAUCUAAAAUAUAAGAAAGUACAAUAAUGUUACAUAAAUACUUCUAUAAUAGCAUAUGAAGUUGCAACCAGACUCAUUCCAAAGCCGUAAAAAGAUACAGUGCUUUAACACACUAUUCUUCAGUCACUGGUUUACCAUACAGCACAAAACCUACCUCUAAUACCAGAAUAGACCAUCCAUCCCUUUUUUUAAUUUCCUAUCCCAGAAAUGGGCAGCAAAGCUGAAAAUCCCACUGCAGUUCACCAGUUCUCUUCAGGUUAGUAGCUAGAUAUGGAAACAUAGCUGAAGGAAGCUAUGUUUUACAAUUCCCCUUUUACUUAGUUACCCUUCUUUCUUCCUUGGAAACCAGAACUGCCCAAAGAAGUACUGUGCAACCCUCUCAAGCGGAAAGGCAGCACAUCCUUAUUCUGGAAAAGCUCCUUCUUGCAUUGUCAGCAUCACACUAACCAAGUAAGACCCUACUUUUUUUUUUUUUUAAGUACUUCUACUGCUAAGAUGACGUGUAAUUGCGAUGCCUUAAGUUUUAGCUUUCACAGUUUUCAGAUUCUGUACUGUCUCAUUAACUCUAAACUUCAUAUAAAGUGUUAGCAAGUCCUCUUCACAGUUGAAUUAGACAAAACAAUCCUUUUCCAGCCUGAGAACCAAGGACACUGUUACAGCUUCCGGCCCAAAAAGCACAAACAACAGCAAAUUGAGGAGAGCAAUGUGGGAGGAUGUGACUUCAUAACCUGAAGCUUUAAUUGGACAAUUAGUCCCAAUAUGCAAAUAGACCAAAACUUAUUAAAGUGUGAAAACUCGUGACUGUUCAUACAUCUUGAGUAGAGCCACAGCCAGGCUCUUGUACUGUCCAAAGUGUAUCCUUCGAAGGCCUUUUAAUAAAUACCUACUUUAUCCUUUAACACUGUUUAGCCUCUGCUCCAGGUUAGCCUCUCUAGGCAUCAGUUGUUUAGCUACAAGUGACCAACUUCACUUUCCAUGACUUUCAGUAUCAAGGCAAGCUCCUGUCUCAACAGGAAACCAGCAUCUACUUAGAAGCCAUACGGCAUUGUCUUACAGGACCGGGCAAAACCUGUUUCUCCAACUUGUAGGAAUGUGUAGGAGGAACUCGACAGUGAUGGAGGCAGUUCAACCUCUCCUUACCUCACAGCAACUGGAUGGACACCACCAACUUGUACUUUUCAAACCCCUAGUUAAAGGAGAGUUCUAGCCUCUAUAACUUAAGAGCUGUUACUUGUUAACACAGCUUGAUUAUAACUACUUAAGCAACCCGUGUACUUACUUGAAAAGGGUCUAGUCACCUACAGACAGCUGCUUGCUAAAAACCUCACAUACAUGUUUUGGGAGUGGCAGGAACUGAAGAGGAAAUAUAAAGGAAAACAGACUAGAGAAUCUCCAGUUUAGAAGUCCACAUCACUCUGCUAGAGGCAAGAACACACUGUAAAUUGUUACCUCCAUCUACUCUACACCUCUAUUCUUUUCUAAAUAUUCACAAGGAGAUGACGGAGCCAGCCAGACCUUUGGGCUCAUGGAGUCUUGCUAUUCUCACACACCCCUAAAGUAAGAACAUCGUCUGACAAGUGUAGUGCAUUGUAGCACUGCUGCUGUUAUUACUGUCAAUAACAGGCCUUUCCCAUUGCCCUUUUAGAAGUGAAGUUUUUGGUCUUCUUUAAUACACUUUUUAGUAAAAAAUGUUCUUAUUCAGAAGCAGUGAAGUCUUAACAUGACUGAGAUAUUACCUAGAAAAAAGGACUCUGCCUAGUAGAACAUGCAUUCCCAAGAAUUCUUGUUUACUGAAACAGAAAAAGCAUACCUUCAGUGCCAAACACUGGUUCAGUAAACAGUGUUCAGCACCAGUAUUUAUAGCUGUGCUUUUAGGUUUAGUUUCAUCGGGACAUCACCACAUAUAGACACUUCCUGCUACCACAAUGGCAUUGGCUACAAGAGCUCUCUACACUCACACAAGUCAACAGGAGGGGAUGGGGGAACACAGAAAUAACACCAAUGGUACCUGUAGGUUUCAGCCUGCUUUGAGAAACAAUGCCAGUACCACUGCUUCCCUCAACAUCAUCCCUUCUUUCCCCUGCAAAAUAGCUUUGGAAUCUGUUAGCCUACUUGAACAAGAUGCGGAAGAAGCCCAAGAAACAUGACAAAAACCCUCAGAGGGGUCAAGAGGCUAGGGAAGGAGAGGCAGUCAAAACUCACUCUCUGGCCAGCUGGCUGCAGCUAAGUGGAGAAGUAUGCACACAGUUUAAAAACAACAUUGUUCCAUGGAGGUGACUCCAAUAUAUUCCCCCUAAAACAGCAUGCUAGCAAAAUAUUAUUCCCUGCAGACAUUUACAGUCUCCCUAAGUAUCACUGUGGGCCAAAAGAACCUCAGGCAAAAGCAUGACACUGAACAUACAUGGCACAGUCACUGGUAAGCCUGAGCAUGGAGGUCUGGCAAGGAGGAGGACAAGCCCAGAGGAAAACAUAGUAACCAACUAAACUGAUGAGUCACAGAAGGCAGUUGAUGUGCUGACGUACUUCCCACCAGCAAAUGGAAGCCCACAUAUUUCUACAAGAUGCUGUCCUCUGACACUAUCAGAGGAAGCAAUUGCCAGCCACUCCUACCCACAACAAAAUAGGUUUUUAACAAGGAGAGCCAAAGCUUCCUAUGACCAGGCGAAAAGAGAAAGCUGAGUAACCUUUACCCAUAUGCUCAGAAGUCAGACAUUUGGAUGCCUCAAGCAAGCAUAAGAUUUUGCUUCUAACAGAGUCUUUGUAAAAGAAGGCUUAAGGGAACCUAACUACAGAGGCGACCAUUAAUAGGGACAUUUAAGGUGGACUUUAAGUCCAUUUUCAACUAGUAUUUACAGUGAUCCCUUUCCUCACCAUUCCUAAUAAAAAGCUUGCCUAGCAAUAAGGCCAUUUUGCAAAACCAUCACCACGGUGGUUUUCAUUUUCCUGCUAGUUCAGGAAAGGUACUUCUACCUUCACUUCCCCCCACCCCUUCUCUCCAAGCAAUAGGAAUAGGCAAACAAGCUAAAAGCAUUACCAGGAAUGAAACAAGCCACAUUAAGGCAAGAAGCAGCCAGAUAUACCAGCAGAUAUGAAUGUGUUGAUUCCUGUGUACUAAUUACUGACAAAUGAGGCAAUGGGGAAAAAAAAAAAAGAAUUGCAUAAGCUGUGCCUCCGAUCUCAGCUCUACUGCAAUUCUUCCUAACUCCACUCCAGAGAAAUCCUUUACCUGGCUUCUCUUUCUUGCAGCAAGACCUCAGUUCUCCCCUUCAGAAGAGAAGGUCCUAUGUAUCCUUAAGGAAAUUUGGGACUCUACACUGUAAGUCAGCUUCAACUUUGCCUUUACCAAACCCUCAAAAGUUACACAGUUAGAAACAGUACACCCCUAUCGGCAGCAGCCUGCAGAUUGAAGUCCUGUCCUUUUCAACAGGUUGAUCCUAUUUAAUCGCAAUGAAAACGAGUCACACUUGCUACCCAUCGGGCUUGAGCAGAGAUGGCAACAUGACAUUUCGUUUGCCUUCUUACUAACAGUAAAGUAGAAGCCGAACCCCGCCCCUCCAAAAAAAACCUCAAAACAAACAAAUCCUACUAAACCUGGAAGCAUUACCAAAGCAAGAUACUUAAUAGAUAGAAAAGUUGUGCCAGGACCUUAACAUUAAGGAGAGGCACACAUGGUGUCCAGCAGCCCAUUCCGGGGGAGACGCCGCCGGCACGUGCUGGGAAGGGGCUGAGCCCAGCUGUGCCCCACUCGCUGGCCCGCACACUCCGGGCCGAUAAGGCACACACGGGCUCCCGCCCAGCUCCGAGCGCGUCACGGCCGGCGCCGCGCGGCUCCCCCGGCCCGCGGGGAGGAGGAGGCGGCCCGGCCUGACUCACCGCGGAGGAGGGGCGAGCGCGCCAGCCCGGGCUGCGGGCGGCGGCCGCCAGCGGACCCCCGGCGCCGCCGCAGCGCAGGGCGUAUUCCCUGAUUCGGGGACAUAGCAUUGCACGGCAUGGGUGGGCGCUCUCCGGCCGCUUGUCCGUGCCUGUCCGUGGCCACACGUGCACAUAGCUGCCAAUUUAUAAUACAUUUCCUCUGCUUCAGUAUUCAAAGUCGUUUGAAUUACAUUGGAAGAAAUCAAUCCACCAACUUAGGAUCCUGUGAGGAUUAAACCAACCCCAGUGAAUUUGGAGUGCUGAGAACUGACAAAAGCAUCCCAUAAGAUUUCUGGAUCCCAUAGGAGCUGCUUCUCAAAGAACAUCUUUAAUAUGGAAAUGGAGGCAGUUUUACAAAAUCGACUGAGUUGUUUAAAGCCGCUCACGCUGACCACAACCCACAUCUUUACCAACGACUCGAAUAGCACAGAGACCUCACACAGAGCUGCACUGAACGUGUGUGUGCCUGCACUGCAGAACAAAAAGGGAGACUGGCAGAGCCCCCGUCACCUCCCUGCUUGGUCAGGACAGACAAGGGCGAGCUCCGAGCACCACCAGAGAUCUGCGGGGACCCUUGGUCUGAGCUGGGCAACUGCAGAUCAGAGCCCAGGCAGAAGCUUGGCGUGAGCAGCUCAGCUCAGAACCGCACACGCUGCCUUCGCCCCUCCAACACCUCUCUUGAAAAUGGCCUUUCCCUUGAAUUUAAUGGUUCUUUCUGAAGCUAUUGCCGGGCUGUGCAAUCCUUUCCACAGCGACGAUCUGUGCGUCACUACGGGAGGCACGAUGGCGGGCAGGGGCGGGGCCAGGACGGACACCGCGGCCGGGUCGGCAUCGCAGAGGGGUCGGCGUCAGGCAGCCGAGUAGACACCUUUGUAAGGAGCGAGGGCCUUACUGGUACCAUACCAAAGAUGGCGGCCCAGCAGAAAGCUGCUUCUGCCAGCACCUAAGAUGGUGACGAAGUGAGGCGGUGACGUGAUGCCACACCAAAAAUGGCGUCUCACCCGGGAGUUACUUCCGCCAGUACAAAAGAUAGCAAAAAAAAAAAGUUGAUCACGUGACGGCACACUAAAGAUGGUGUCUCAUCCGACAGUGACCUGCCAGUAGCCAAUGUGCCGGCAGUCACGUGAUGACACACCGAAGGUGGAGGGUCGGCACUGGGUUUAUUUGACCUUCCAAAGAUGGCGGUAUCUUGCUCAUGAGCCUUGGGUAGGGGAAGAAGUCGCAUCCUGGAAGGAGCCCGCUCUUCUCAAAGACGUCUGUUCGAUUGCCUGAACCCGACUCCAACGCCGAUUCCGCGCUUCCUGCUUUUCACGGCGUUUCCCGGUGUGGGGACAUGGGCUGUGGGGCCAGCGGCGCCGGGAGUAGGCAGCAGGAUGCAGCUCCUCUUUCGCAGGAGGUGCGAGGUGGCAGCCGGAGCUGGAGACAAGGUUUGCCAGGCAGGGCCAGCAGGGAGAAUUCCCACUGCCAGUAGCUCCCUGGCAGUGCUGGGUGGAUUCGGGCUAGGGAGGUGGGAGGUGUGGGGAGUGCUCAUGUCCCCGGGAGCUGCUGAAAUGGCAGCUGGCAGCAGCCUCGUGUGUCUGUGUGGAGCCAGCCAUAGCGCUGGCAGCCGGGUGAGAGCUGGGAAGUGAACAUCAGCAGUCUGGAAACAAGGCAGAGAAAUGGGUUAACAUGGCACGGACUUCUCCCAAGCAUCUUGUGAAAAACGCCAAUCACUUGUUUUAAAAUUUUUAAAGUUUAAUAAUAAUAAAAUGUUUAUAAAAAUUGUAAUGAAAAUUAGAGCAAUAAGAAUUUGGACAAUCAGAGUUAGGACAAUAAAGGACAAUAAAAAAGCAAAGGAUUACA
Molecule: long non-coding RNA, 5771 nt
Organism: Passer montanus (Eurasian tree sparrow)
Lineage: Eukaryota; Metazoa; Chordata; Aves; Passeriformes; Passeridae
Exons: 6
Source: RefSeq, a predicted model, not a curated record